AUUCCAAAGAAACGGAUGUCCACCCCAGAUUCUGAGGACCCACUUUUUUUUUUUUUAAAGAUUUUAUUUAUUUAUUUGACAGAGAGAGAUCACAAGUAGGCAGAGAGGCAGGCAGAGAGAGAGAGAGGAGGAAGCAGGUUCCCCGCUGAGCAGAGAGCCCCAUGUGAUGCGGGACUCGAUCCCAGGACCCCGAGAUCAUGACCCGAGCGGAAGGCAGCGGCUUAACCCACUGAGCCACCCAGGCACCCUGAGGACCCACUUUUGAGGCGUUUUCCACUUGUCUGUUUUUGCAUCUGUCAAAUGGUCCCCUGGAGUGGGCUCAUCAACACUUCCACUGUCCUUUCCCAAACAGGGAAUUGUGGGAGGGGAUUCUCCGGCGGGAUUGGCUGCCCCCACCAUACAGACUCAGGGCUAAACGACAGACAUGAUGGAGAGUGUCCCCCACCCCACAUGCCAGUUCCCACCCAAUCUGGAGAUAAGAACACUGCGGCCUGCAGCUAGCCUCCCCUCCCUGAGUCCGGUACAAACCCCGCCCAGACCCGCUGGGGCUGACACCAGGGUGCCAGUCUUGUCGUUUCCAGAGGAUGGCCUGAGAAAGUGGGAGUCGGCUCUGUGCAUGCUGGGAGGAGCUCCCUUUAGCCUUCUUUUCUUCGGGUCGCUGUCCCGCGGACCUUCAGCAUCAAGAUUUGCCACGGCCGCCCGACUUGCGCAGUGCCCGCGCGGUGCCCUCCCUGGGGCCAUGGUGACAAAGCCAAGAUGGGACAUAGAGAAGAACGCAUCUGGGGGAGGAAACUCGGUUGAGAGCCUCUGGAAGACGGGGGUCCCGACUUACACAUCUCUCCAUCUCCAUGGUGGCUGUCACAAGCUCCCACCCAGGUCUGGCUCAGAAGGAACUUCUGUUAGAUUAAACUGA
RNAcentral lists this long non-coding RNA (913 nucleotides) under Mustela putorius furo (domestic ferret). RNAcentral describes it as "lncRNA (ENSMPUG00000027832.1)". The record is from RNAcentral. Lineage: Eukaryota; Metazoa; Chordata; Mammalia; Carnivora; Mustelidae.